This 207-nucleotide unclassified non-coding RNA is filed under the name Hevea brasiliensis (rubber tree). The record is from RNAcentral. Lineage: Eukaryota; Viridiplantae; Streptophyta; Magnoliopsida; Malpighiales; Euphorbiaceae.
UGGGCAUUGAACCAUAUGAUUUUCAACAUAAAAUCCAGGUUCUUGAUCUGCAUUACAUGUCGGACAUACAAGAUCUCCUCGUCCUCCACAGACUGAACACUUCUCGACGGUUUCCGAAUGAGGAAUCCUUUUCCUUGAUUCUUUAGAAGGUACAAAAAGAAGUGGGAACUCAGAUUUCAAAUCCAAUUCCCAGAUUCCAAGUUCAGG